UACGUAGGGGGCAAGCGUUGUCCGGAUUUAUUGGGCGUAAAGCGCGCGCAGGCGGUCUACCAAGUUCGGAGUGACAGUUUCCGGCUUAACCGGAAAAGGUCUUCGAAAACUGGUGGACUUGAGGACUUGAGGGGGAGACGGAAUUCCGGGUGGAGCGGUGAAAUGCGUAGAGAUCCGGAGGAACACCGAAAGCGAAGGCAGUCUCCUGGCAAGUGUCUGACGCUCAGGUGCGAAAGCUAGGGGAGCGAACAGG
This 253-nucleotide ribosomal RNA is filed under the name uncultured bacterium. RNAcentral describes it as "partial 16S ribosomal RNA". It matches the Rfam family "Bacterial small subunit ribosomal RNA", at positions 524 to 776 of the family's 1533-position model. The record is from RNAcentral.